RNAcentral lists this transfer RNA (58 nucleotides) under Ursus americanus (American black bear). It matches the Rfam family "tRNA", at positions 8 to 63 of the family's 71-position model. Rfam says of the family: Transfer RNA (tRNA) molecules are approximately 80 nucleotides in length. RNAcentral also lists the same sequence under 1 other name. The record is from Rfam by way of RNAcentral. Lineage: Eukaryota; Metazoa; Chordata; Mammalia; Carnivora; Ursidae.
UGGCUCAAUAGGUAGAGCAUGUGACUCUUGAUCUCAGGGUUGUAGGUUCAAGCCCCAU